Molecule: long non-coding RNA, 691 nt
Organism: Panicum virgatum (switchgrass)
Lineage: Eukaryota; Viridiplantae; Streptophyta; Magnoliopsida; Poales; Poaceae
Exons: 2
Source: RefSeq, a predicted model, not a curated record
GACCUCUUUUCCUCUUUUAAGAAUCGAAAAGGUAGGCUGCCAAACACGAGCGAGAGAAGGAAGAUCAUUACUCAUGCUGUUUUUCAAGAUCAAAGAUGUUAUGAAGAUGGGAGAGUUUUAAACAAAGUGAAGUCAUUAAAAAGACAAGGCAAAGAUCUGCACAAGAAGAGAAGACGUCUUACUCCCUCUGAAUCUCGUCUCUAUGAACGUCUGAACCAAAUCUGGCCAGCCUAAAGUUUAUUGGACGAAUUGGAGCAACUUCUUAAAGGAAUUGGCUAUGAUGAUAGCCGGCCCAUCAAUUGCAUUGAUGAAGGAGGGCUAAUCAACAUAGCAGGUUUAUUUUGGGUGCUGGGCUUCUUUGGAAACACCGAAACGCUUGUGUGUUUGAAGGAGACCGCCCAAAUUUGGACAGGUUACUGCAGGCGUUCAAGGAUGAACACCACUUGUGGUGUCUGGCAGGGGCUCGAAGCCUCAGCUCCUUGAGUGCUGGUCAAGUGUUCGGACUAGGCUAGUUCCUAGUCCUUGUUAGUGGUCUCGGGUCAAGCUUUUGUUUUUUUCUUAGGCAACAACAUCAUAGUGUAUCACAGCCCCUCACAGCUCGGCUCGGAGUGAGGUGUGCUAGUUUGUAAGGGGCCGGUUUAUUCUCUCUAUUAAUACAAAGACACGCAGCUCUCCUGCGUAUUCGAGAAAA